CUGCUACUCCCUCCGUCCCAAAAUUCUUGUCUUAGAUUUGCCUAGAUACGGAUGUAUCAAGAGUGAUACAUCCGUAUCUAGGCAAAUCUAAGACAAGAAUUUUGGGACGGAAGAAGUAUUUU
Triticum aestivum (bread wheat) is the source of this 122-nucleotide non-coding RNA. The record is from Rfam. NCBI's taxonomy places the organism in Eukaryota, Viridiplantae, Streptophyta, Magnoliopsida, Poales, Poaceae.